AGUGAAAAGCGCAGUGUGCUCAUAGAUACUACAUACACACAUGGAUAUGAAACAGGAAGUCGGUAUCCAAUUAACUCUUUGAAGUUCACCUGUAAACGUCAUAACCAGCAUAGCUCUAUCCUUGGCGCUUUUCCUCUGUCUAUGUUUUCAAGAAUUUUCUUGACUCACUUAUUUUUGUGAAAGAAGGCCUCAUGUUUACAUGACAAAAUUAGAAGACCUCCAUUUUUAUUUGUAACCACCUUUUCUAGACUCUCGAACGGAGUUAGCUAUGAGAACUGAGUAGUGAAAGAAUAGGUUAUUUACCAAGGAACACAAGCAGGAUGUCAGUGGCAUUGAUGAGACAUUGUUACAUGAUUGUAAAGCUUCAUAUUUAUGCUACCACAGAGGAGUACUAUCAAGAUAGAGAUGAUGUACAUUACAGUAUGUACUGUAUGGUGAUACAUUAAAAUUUGUUGAAAGACUCAUAAUAAUAAUCAAUCUAUUGG
Long non-coding RNA from Amphimedon queenslandica, 485 nucleotides. RefSeq lists it as uncharacterized. The transcript is spliced from 4 exons. Lineage: Eukaryota; Metazoa; Porifera; Demospongiae; Haplosclerida; Niphatidae. The record is from RefSeq and is a predicted model, not a curated record.